Molecule: non-coding RNA, 95 nt
Organism: Hysterangium stoloniferum
Lineage: Eukaryota; Fungi; Basidiomycota; Agaricomycetes; Hysterangiales; Hysterangiaceae
Source: the annotation of a GenBank genome assembly
GGCUUGGUGGCUCAGUUGGUAAAGCAUAAGACUCUUACACUCCCUCUGACCGGGUAAGAGCCUUAAGGUUGCUGGUUCGAUUCCCGCCUGAGGCA